AUAACCUGCCCUUUGGAGGGGGAUAACGUUCCGAAAGGAGCGCUAAUACCGCAUACAGCAAGAGCCGGUUUGCCGGUUUUUGGCAAAGGUAGGGACCCGCAAGGGCCUAUCGCCAGAGGAGGGGUCUGCGGCCCAUCAGCUAGUUGGUGAGGUAAUGGCUCACCAAGGCAGAGACGGGUAGCUGGUCUGAGAGGAUGAUCAGCCACACUGGUACUGGAACACGGACCAG
This 229-nucleotide ribosomal RNA is filed under the name uncultured bacterium. RNAcentral's name for it is "partial 16S ribosomal RNA". It matches the Rfam family "Bacterial small subunit ribosomal RNA", at positions 121 to 334 of the family's 1533-position model. The record is from RNAcentral.